Molecule: ribosomal RNA, 253 nt
Filed under: uncultured bacterium
Lineage: Bacteria
Description: partial 16S ribosomal RNA
Rfam family: Bacterial small subunit ribosomal RNA
Source: RNAcentral
UACAGAGGAGCCAAGCGUUGUCCGGAUUGACUGGGCGUAAAGCGCACGCAGGCGGACGCGCGCGUGGGGUGUGAAAUCUGGCCGCUUAACGGCCAGGCGCCAUCCCGUACGGCGGGUCUGGAGUGAUGCAGAGGGCGGUGGAAUUGCCGGUGUAGUGGUGAAAUGCGUAGAGAUCGGCAGGAACACCCAGGGGGAAACCAGCCGCCUGGGCAUCGACUGACGCUGAGGUGCGAGAGCGUGGGGAGCGAACCGG